RNAcentral lists this transfer-messenger RNA (371 nucleotides) under Pseudonocardia sp. It matches the Rfam family "transfer-messenger RNA". From Rfam's summary of the family: Bacterial tmRNA, also known as 10Sa RNA or SsrA, is named for its dual tRNA and mRNA-like properties. Its role is to liberate the mRNA from a stalled ribosome. To accomplish this part of the tmRNA is used as a reading frame that ends in a translation stop signal. Lineage: Bacteria; Bacillati; Actinomycetota; Actinomycetes; Pseudonocardiales; Pseudonocardiaceae. The record is from RNAcentral.
GGGGGUGAACGGUUUCGACUCUGGACGUCGAUCAAGGGGAAGCGUGUCGAGGAAGGCGACGAUGAUCUCGUUAACCAUAUGUCGCAAAACACAAGUGCCGCUCCUAAGCAGCACGAGUUCGCCCUCGCCGCCUGAGCGAGUGUGACUCUGUCGGACCGGGUGCGUUCCCCGACCCGGACCUCGGCAUCAGUUAGGGGACUCACCUGUCCACCCGGUCGCGGGGUGGACAGGGACAGCGAACAGCGACUGGGAUCGUCACACCGGCUCGUUCGCAUGACCGGUGGAUCCGAGUAGAGGCAACGCGAACUGCACACGGAGAAGCCCUUGUGAAGCGACAGAGGACCCGGGUUCGAUUCCCGGCACCUCCACCC